Triplophysa rosa is the source of this 96-nucleotide small nucleolar RNA. RefSeq annotates it as Z30 small nucleolar RNA. The transcript has a single exon. The record is from RefSeq and is a predicted model, not a curated record. NCBI's taxonomy places the organism in Eukaryota, Metazoa, Chordata, Actinopteri, Cypriniformes, Nemacheilidae.
AGCAAUGAUGAGUAAAAGAACAUUACUGACUUGGUAUUGUUGCCAUCUGGCAUCUCUGACCAAGAUCUGAUUGAGUUUAAUCUUCUCUCUGAGCUG